Molecule: long non-coding RNA, 252 nt
Filed under: Nicotiana benthamiana
Lineage: Eukaryota; Viridiplantae; Streptophyta; Magnoliopsida; Solanales; Solanaceae
Description: long non-coding RNA (NBEN_LNC009050)
Source: RNAcentral
UACAUUACAGGUGUAAGCAAUGCUUCGAAGCAGUUUAUCGCUAGAACAGAAAGUAUUUCCAAAUAUUCUCGCAUUCCUUUCCAACCAUAAGACAUAGAACAUUUCUGCAAAGGUCAUUUUGAAUAUAUGAGCUCGAGGAGAUUUCCCUUUAGCCUUAUCAAUGAUCCAGUGGACAAACUGUGGCCAAUUCUGUCCAGCAGGUUGUGUUGCUCCAAUCCACUGCAGUGUGUGAUACCUCAGCAGAGUAGCAAA